CAGAAAAGGCAGCACUCCCUAUAUAUACAUAUGAAGGUAUUGCCACAGAGACCAUGACUUGGGAAUUUUAAAGAAGCACCAGCAGAGGUGAACUAAGUAAAAAUCAGUCUUCUGAACUGAAAUCAGAUCACCUAAAGGAGCCAAAACAUCCAGGACUACAGAGUGAAAUGUAUACAAAACAAGAACAUGACAAAAUAUAUUCCUCAAUUCCUAGAUUGCUUUAA
RNAcentral lists this long non-coding RNA (224 nucleotides) under Coturnix japonica (Japanese quail). Its description in RNAcentral is "lncRNA (ENSCJPG00005006775.1)". The record is from RNAcentral. Lineage: Eukaryota; Metazoa; Chordata; Aves; Galliformes; Phasianidae.